This is a long non-coding RNA of Eriocheir sinensis (Chinese mitten crab), 1003 nucleotides long. RefSeq lists it as uncharacterized. Lineage: Eukaryota; Metazoa; Arthropoda; Malacostraca; Decapoda; Varunidae. The record is from RefSeq and is a predicted model, not a curated record. The transcript is spliced from 2 exons.
AUAAAACUACCCAUGGACCUACAAACACAACUCUACGAAAGCUUUCUAAGGCCUAUCAGAAACUUUCGGCUCACAACCAACAUUUCCCAAGGCCACAAAGAAAGCCAGUCGGGUUCUCAGGAGUGCUUUAUGACAUCCAUGGUGCAGAAGCCUUGUCAAACUAUCGCUAGGCUCAUAAAACUACCCAUGGACCUACAAACACAACUCUACGAAAGCUUUCUAAGGCCUAUCAGAAACUUUCGGCUCACAACCAACAUUUCCCAAGGCCACAAAGAAAGCCAGUCGGGUUCUCAGGAGUGCUUUAUGACAUCCAUGGUGCAGAAGCCUUGUCAAACUAUCACCAGGCUCAUAAAACUACCCAUGGACCUACUAACACAGCCUCAACUGAUUAACUAUUGGUACCUCAGUUCGUCUGUUUGAAGAGCCUCUCACAGAAGUCGCUGGGAUUUCACGGACUGUUUUGUGAUGGUAGUGAAAGUUUAACCCGACCUCUACCCAUGGAAAUACUAACACAAUCUCACCUGACUAACUAUUGGUACCUCAGUUCGUCUGUUUGAAAAGCCUCUCAGAGAAGUCGUUGGGAUUUCAUGGACUGUUUUGUGAUGGUAGUGAAAGUUUAACCCGACCUCUACCCAUGGAAAUACUAACCCAACCUCACCUGACUAACUAUUGAUACCUUAGUAAGUAAGCCUCUCAGAGAAGUCGUUGGGUUUUCAUGGACUGUUUUGUGAUGGUAGUGAAAGUUUAACCAGACCUCCGCACCUUGCACUGGAAAAGACCCCAUGAAAACCAAGCCUCUCACAGAAGUUGCUGGGCUUUUCAUGGACUGUUUUGUGAUGGUAGUGAAAGUUUAACCAGACCUCCGCACCUUGCACUGGAAAAGACCCCAUGAAAACCAAGCCUCUCACAGAAGUUGCUAAGCUUUUCAUAGACUGUUCUGUGAUGCCGGCGAUAGUUUAACCCGACCUCUGCGCCUUGCACUGGAAAAGACCCCAUGACAACC